Molecule: RNA transcript, 1615 nt
Organism: Cynara cardunculus var. scolymus (artichoke)
Lineage: Eukaryota; Viridiplantae; Streptophyta; Magnoliopsida; Asterales; Asteraceae
Gene name: serine/arginine-rich splicing factor SC35-like
Exons: 9
Source: RefSeq, a predicted model, not a curated record
UCUCAAGAAUGGCACGAUGAAACGCACUACUUCAAACAAUUCUCACGAACCCUAGCUCUCUGAAAAUCCCCAAACGUUUUUUUUAUCGUCGAUCGAUCAAAUCAAUCGCCUCGAUUUUGUAGUUUGUAAGAGCGAAAGAAACGAUGUCUCACUUUGGCAGAUCAGGUCCGCCGGAUAUUUCAGACACCUACUCUCUCCUCAUCCUCAAUAUUAGUUUCCGGACGACGGCCGACGAUUUGUUCCCGCUUUUUGAUAAGUACGGAAAGGUUGUUGAUAUCUUCAUUCCCAAAGAUCGAAGGACUGGUGAUUCGCGUGGGUUUGCAUUUGUCCGGUACAAGUAUGCAGAUGAAGCACAGAAGGCAGUAGAUAGGCUUGAUGGAAGAGAAGUUGAUGGUCGAGAAAUUACUGUUCAAUUUGCAAAAUAUGGACCCAAUGCUGAAAGGAUUCACAGAGGAAGGAUCAUUGAGAAGUCUCCGAGGAGCCGAGGCAGGUCAAGAAGUCGUAGUCCUCGAAGAAGCUCCAGAUAUCGUGAUGAUCAUUAUCACGACAGGGAUUAUAGGAGGAGAAGUCGCAGCAGGAGCAGGAAUAGGUAUGAUAGGUACCAUGGCAGGGAACGAGGUUAUCGCUAUAGAAGCAGGAGUCGUAGCUAUAGUCCAGACUAUGAUAGAAGUCGUGGUAGGGGACAUUAUGAUGAUGAGCGUUGGAGCAGGAGUCUCUCUAUGGAAAGUGCUAGUCCUCGAAGGAGCUUGUCACCUCGCAGGACCCCUCCUAGGGGUAGAAGCCCUGAUAGCCGCAGCCGAUCACCAAGCCGUAGUCUUUCACCAAAUGGUCGCCAUCUUGAUUCUAGUAGUCCUUCACCACGUAGUCCUGAUGAGGAGUGACUGUUAAUCACAUGAGCUGGAAUUCUGAAUUGAUCUCUCUUGUUGCCAUCUUGAUGCUGUUCAGCGAUGUCUUUCCUAGUAGUUUUGUUAUGAUCGAGAAAAGAUAGAUUGGGGCCGAUGGCUGUGAUGAUGAUAUUGUGACCUGUUGAUGCUGUGUAUAGUCUGUAGAUUAUUUGAGAGAAUGCUGUUUGCAGCAGCAGGGGGUGAGGUUGAUUUUUACAUGAGUUACAGUCCUGGUGGUAAGUUUCUCAUGGGCCUGCUCUUUUCCUUUAUGCCCUUUCACACUUCACCUGUUAAUUGGGUAUUUGUCAUACAAAAGUGGGCAGAAAGAGUGUGUAGCUGAUGCUUGUCCUAAAUUUGCCGCUCACAGGACAGGGUAACAAAUGCUCGUAUUUGUUUCUAAUUUUGUUUUUGUGCAUAACAUAUUAUUAUUUGUUGCAUCUUGCUCCUCCUAAGUUGUAGCACCAGUGUUCGUGACUGUUGCUGUGAAGUCGUAGCUGAUUUCAGAUCCUAUCCUAUCCUAGUAAGUUAUAUAGUGGGUGAUGUGUAUGUUUGAAGGUGAGGUGGUAGAUCUUGUGGUUGCAUGGUCGAACCAAGUCCUUGCCUGCUGCCUUAGUUAACAUCACAUCUGAUGAUUUGAAGUUUAUCCUAUGCACGGCUGCAAUUGCGAAUCAUUGAACAUCUCGAGCUUAAGCUGUCAUAUCGUCUCUUUCUGGUAUAUAAUCAUAUGUAAG